RNAcentral lists this ribosomal RNA (500 nucleotides) under uncultured bacterium. RNAcentral describes it as "partial 16S ribosomal RNA". The stretch from base 12 to 386 matches the Rfam family "Bacterial small subunit ribosomal RNA", at positions 39 to 400 of the family's 1533-position model. The record is from RNAcentral.
GACGAACGCUGGCGGCGUGCCUAAUACAUGCAAGUCGGGCGGACCGAACGAGGGCUUGCUCUUGUUUGGUCAGCGGCGGACGGGUGAGUAACACGUGGGCAACCUGCCCGCAAGACCGGGAUAACUCCGGGAAACCGGAGCUAAUACCGGAUAACACCGAAGACCGCAUGGUCUUCGGUUGAAAGGCGGCCUUUGGGCUGUCACUUGCGGAUGGGCCCGCGGCGCAUUAGCUAGUUGGUGAGGUAACGGCUCACCAAGGCGACGAUGCGUAGCCGGCCUGGAAGGGGGAGCGGCGACAGGGGAACUGAGACACGGGCCAGAGGCCGAGGGGAGGGAGCGGUAGGGAAGGCGAGGGAGGGGGCGGAAGGUUGACGGGGGGACGCCGCGGGAGGGAGGAGGGUGUGGGGAGGGGAAGAGGCUGGUAGGAGGGAAGAACAAAGGUGGAAGGAAAGAUGCAGGGGGUGAGGGUACCUAAUCAGAAAGCCACGGCGAACUACGGG